Molecule: long non-coding RNA, 2061 nt
Organism: Papaver somniferum (opium poppy)
Lineage: Eukaryota; Viridiplantae; Streptophyta; Magnoliopsida; Ranunculales; Papaveraceae
Exons: 6
Source: RefSeq, a predicted model, not a curated record
GUUUAAUUUUAGUGUGGCUGCAUUUAGUGACUGCCAUUUUGUAUAUAAGGGUAACUCGGGAAUUUUUUUUCCCCAGAAUUCUUGCAGCUCCUGGCCCGAAAAAAAUGGUUUUUCUCCUGUGAUUUUUAUCAUAAAUGAACGGUUCGCGAUGAUUUCUUAACUUAAAACCAUGAAUUCGCAGCACACACAGCACCUUCUCUCCUUGGCGGGAUGAGCUACAAAUUUUAUAAGCUUCCCUGAAACACAUCACAAAUUAAGAGUGCUUCAAAUUCUAGGGCAAAAUAUUUCCUCCUCCACCACCUCCUCCUCCUCCUCAACCUCCGCCUCCUCCAAUCCAUGCUUACUUACUGGAAGAGAAAGUCUAGUACGACUAAUCGGAAAGCGCCGCAAAAUCCUCUCAGAUCGUCAAUCCUUUCUACUUACACCUUCCGUGGUAAUAAUCAAUUUUCAAACCCUAAUUUCAUUUGUGAAUCCGACAAACAAAACCCUAAUUUUUUUCAUUGAUAUGAAACUAGAAAUGCGUUAUCAUCUCAUCAAGUCGACUAAUGGAGCAGAGGUUUGUCAAUCCAGUAAAUUGGAUGAUGAUGUUUCUGUUGAGAUCGGGGGAUCAGAUUCUUCCUAUGUUAUUUGUCCUGUUUGUGGAAAUGCCGUUCAAGGAUCAGAUCAUGAAUUCUCAUUUAGGUAGGAUUGGUUUUCAAUGCUAAAUGUUACUUUGGAGAUUACAAGGUGUUUGAUUAAAUUACUGUUUCAGUUUAGUUUUAAAAAGCUCAGGGAUAUAAUAUGUAGUAUUACCAAAGGAUGAGAAAGUUGGGGGAAAUGCCAUCAUUCAAUUGCCUGUGAUUGACGAUAAUUAUGACGUUCAUUAUGUGUUGCCACUGAAAUCAUUUCCUAAGUUAGAAACUCAUGAAGAGGUUAAGAUGGAAAUUUUGUCAGGUGAAGAUUAUAAUCCAUCAGAUGAUGACAUUUUUGAGGAGAAAGAUGUGAAUGUGGCUCAUCUGUUUGUAAUGUUAUGUUCCCUAAGCAUGAAGUAGAUGGAUCUACUGAUCGUACUUUGGUGGCAAUUUUCUCUAUUUUCAUUGCGAUAGAUUUGGUGAGGAAGUUGAUUUAAGGAAAGGGCAUACCAUCUCUUUUGUAAGGGACCAAUAUAAUGUUAAAGAUCCCAGUGCAAUAAAGAUUCUGGAAGUGAAAAAGUUGUUGGUCACAACCUCUGGGAGUUGGCUAGGUAUCUCUCCCCUGUAAUUGAGAAGAACUGUAUUUGAGGUUGUAUGUCAAAGAAUGGCCGGGAAGACGUUCUUCAUGAGGUUGAGUGCGAAAAAAACUUCAUCUCUAGCAAGAGAAAGUAGCGGCGGAAUUUUCGUCUUUUGAUUCAAGAAGUUUUGAGGAGUCAUUAGCACCUUUUAAAAGAUGAAGAAAAUUUUUAUGCAGGAUCAUUUAAAUCACUAUCGGACGAUAGUCAGAAUAUCUUUGUUCGACUUUUUACCCAAAAAGGGCCAUGGUUCCGGGUGACUAAUAUUUCCUACCAAGAAGUUACAGAUCCUCAACAGGCUAUAGAGGGACUCUGUGCAAGGUGUUAUGGCUGUUCGUUCGAGUCCUUGAAGGAACCAGAUGGGUACAUAUAAAGGAGGUUCUAGAUGCACUCAUUGUUUCUGAGCUACUAAGACAUUUGUAGUUUGUCACACUCCAAGGUGCAUAUAUGUAUUUAUGCUCAAAUAGUCAUGUUUCAGGCCAUUACAUUUUUAGGCAUCUUCAAGAUCAUACUCCCUCCAUCCCAGUUUAGUUGAUUGUGUAGGUUUUUUUUUGGGGGCUCAUAUUACUUGAUAGUUUUAUUAUUUUGUCACAGAACUCCUAACUUCAGCCUCAAAUUGAAAUCAUACAAAAUAUUUUAGAAAAUUGCUUGGCAUUCUUAACCAGGAUCCAUAGACCCCCUUCCCUAGCAGAGCUUUAGCAUAUAGAUCUUUGUAAUGCUGUGUGCUAAUAAGCAUGGAUAUCAUUUGCAUAUUUGACUGUCUUGUGUACAAUAUACGUAAUCUUUAUUUAUUUUUCGUUAUUCACUUUCUUUUA